Homo sapiens (human) is the source of this 103-nucleotide small nuclear RNA. The record is from Ensembl. NCBI's taxonomy places the organism in Eukaryota, Metazoa, Chordata, Mammalia, Primates, Hominidae.
GUGCUUUGGCAGCACAUAUACUAAAAUUGGAACGAUGCAGAGAAGAUUAGCAUGGCCCCUGUGCAAGGAUGACACACAAAUUCAUGAAGCGUUCUGUAUUUUU